RNAcentral lists this ribosomal RNA (373 nucleotides) under uncultured eukaryote. RNAcentral describes it as "partial 18S ribosomal RNA". It matches the Rfam family "Eukaryotic small subunit ribosomal RNA", at positions 592 to 976 of the family's 1831-position model. The record is from RNAcentral.
CAAUAGCGUAUAUUAAAGUUGUUGCAGUUAAAAAGCUCGUAGUUGGAUUUCUGGGAGGGUGCCAAUGUCCGUCAACGUGCGUGUGCAGCGGCGCCCUUCCAUCCUUCUGUUAACGCCUCUGGGCAUUUACUUGCCAGUGGCGGGCUCAGAUAUUUUACCUUGAGAAAAUUAGAGUGUUUCAGGCAGGCUAGGCCGGAAUACAUUAGCAUGGAAUAAUAGAAUAGGACUAUGGUCUCUUUGUUGGUUUGAGGGACUAUGGUAAUGAUUAAUAGGGAUAGUUGGGGGCAUUAGUAUUUAAUUGUCAGAGGUGGAAUUCUCAGAUUUGUUAAAGACUAACUUAUGCGAAAGCAUUUGCCAAGGAUGUUUUCAUUAA